This 433-nucleotide ribosomal RNA is filed under the name uncultured bacterium. RNAcentral's name for it is "partial 16S ribosomal RNA". It matches the Rfam family "Bacterial small subunit ribosomal RNA", at positions 29 to 507 of the family's 1533-position model. The record is from RNAcentral.
AACGAACGCUGGCGGCAGGCCUAACACAUGCAAGUCGAACGAAGUCUUCGGACUUAGUGGCGCACGGGUGAGUAACACGUGGGAAUAUACCUUACGCUGGGGGAUAACAUCGGGAAACUGAUGCUAAUACCGCAUACGCCCUUCGGGGGAAAGAUUUAUCGGCGAAAGAUUAGCCCGCGUGCGAUUAGCUAGUUGGUGAGGUAAUGGCCCACCAAGGCUCCGAUCGGUAGCUGGUCUGAGAGGAUGACCAGCCACACUGGGACUGAGACACGGCCCAGACUCCUACGGGAAGCAGCAGUGGGGAAUAUUGGACAAUGGGCGCAAGCCUGAUCCAGCCAUGCCGCGUGAGUGAUGAAGGCCUUAGGGUUGUAAAGCUCUUUCACCCACGACGAUGAUGACGGUAGUGGGAGAAGAAGCCCCGGCUAACUUCGUG